RNAcentral lists this ribosomal RNA (253 nucleotides) under uncultured bacterium. RNAcentral's name for it is "partial 16S ribosomal RNA". It matches the Rfam family "Bacterial small subunit ribosomal RNA", at positions 524 to 776 of the family's 1533-position model. The record is from RNAcentral.
UACAGAGGUCCCAAGCGUUGUUCGGAUUCACUGGGCGUAAAGGGUGCGUAGGCGGUCGGGUAAGUCUGACGUGAAAUCUUCAAGCUUAACUUGGAAACUGCGUCGGAUACUAUUCGGCUAGAGGAAUGGAGGGGAGACUGGAAUACUUGGUGUAGCAGUGAAAUGCGUAGAUAUCAAGUGGAACACCAGUGGCGAAGGCGGGUCUCUGGACAGUUCCUGACACUGAGGCACGAAGGCCAGGGGAGCAAACGGG